AAGCAGUCCAUCAUUCCCAAUGCUCUGGGCAUGGUGGGGACCUUAGUAUACAGGAGACGCGUGCGGCCUCACUCUGUCUAAAGUUGAAAUAGGGGCUGGGAGUCUCACUCCCUCGCUCUCACACCUGCCACCACUGGCCUGCCUCUGAGUCUGGGCAGGCACACAGACAACUACCCACAGUUCACAGAUGUGAACCCUCUUUUGCAACAUUGCGGUUGCAUAUCAUUUUCAAGAUUUAUUCACUAUCUCAAAAGGCGUCAAAUUAAACCCUAUCACAACAUCGGGUUACAGCAGGAGGAGCCGAACGUCUCGGCUGGAAGCGGUCUUAGAGGGGUGGAUGCCAAGAAUGGGGAUGCGCUGUUGCCAGGAACCCAGCAGUCAACGAUGGAGCAAGAGCACACUGCAUUCCAUAAUGUCCCCAGAGGCAACCUUCAAAGUGCCAUUUACUCCUUGAAGAAACGGUAGCCUUGUAGUCCCACCUCCUGGCUAUGGCUGGCUGUCAGCUUGCUCAAGAUGUGUGAGGAAUGCCCAGCUCG
Molecule: long non-coding RNA, 536 nt
Organism: Tupaia belangeri chinensis (Chinese tree shrew)
Lineage: Eukaryota; Metazoa; Chordata; Mammalia; Scandentia; Tupaiidae
Exons: 3
Source: RefSeq, a predicted model, not a curated record